Molecule: ribosomal RNA, 571 nt
Filed under: Ecphylus sp. 2 AZR-2013
Lineage: Eukaryota; Metazoa; Arthropoda; Insecta; Hymenoptera; Braconidae
Description: eukaryotic LSU rRNA
Rfam family: Eukaryotic large subunit ribosomal RNA
Source: RNAcentral
GAUCGAAUGGGGAGAUUCAUCGUCAACGCACUUUCGUACAUAUGAGUUAUGAUGCGGGUUACUCUCGAGUAUUGCCUGCACGUACUUGUAUAUUUGAAGGUGUUGUCGGCGUGCACUUCUCCCCUAGUAGAACAUCGCGACCCGUUGGGUGUCGGUUUAUGGCCCAAGUGGUUGCCUUUAUUGUUUUUAACAUUAAAGACCCUUGGUGUUCUAACCGGCUACUCGACGGUACUCGUACGGUAUUUAGCCGCAUUUAUGCGUCUGUAUCCGUUGCAAGUGAGGUUAGUUUCUGGUAUACGGACCUAGUGCCGUCGCUGGAGCUCACCCUCUGUUGGUAACGGAAUCUAAGACUGGCUAACACAUACCGGUCUGCGAUGCUACUGCUUUGGGUACUUUCAGGACCCGUCUUGAAACACGGACCAAGGAGUCUAACAUGUACGCGAGUCAUUGGGAUUCGUAAAGUAAACCUAAAGGCGUAAUGAAAGUAAAAGUCAUCCUUGCGGUGACUGAGGGAGGAUAAGUUGUGCUACGAUACAGCUUCGCACUCUCGGGGCGUCUCAUCUCAUGCGAG